CCAAAUCCAUUUCUUCAUUGCCAAAGAAAUAAAUCAAAGGUGGGGCCACAUAUCAGACAUAAACAUUACUUACACGAAAAAGGUUGCUACAUACUUGAUAAUGUCAAGAAGUAUGGGAACAGUCAAAGCAUUUUUGAAUAUCUGCGGCAAUGCACUUGGAGAUAUAGCCUGUAUAGAAAUAACACAAAAAAUAAUAACAUGAAACAAAGUAACAGCAUAAAUGGAAAGUCAGAAUGAGUGAUGAUUUCCUAAACAAAUACCAACUGCAUUCACAAUCCUUUAUGGACAUUUGAAAUUGUUCAAAAGGGACACAACAAAUCGGGAACUUCUUGGAUGGCCCCUAGCAUGCAGAAGCCAGAUAGGCAGACUGACAAUGCAAUUACUGGUAUACUUCUGGCACCCAUCCAAAGAGGACAAUAGACGAGACUAAUAGAAUCUUUACAGUGGUCAACUGCGCGGAUGACCACCAUGCAAAAAGAACACAUUCAUGGUCACCUACUUUGGGAUGACAACGAACACAUGAAUCUUGCAUUUUGGCAAACUAUAUUUUUUACAGUAAACCACAUGAAUACUUUUGCAGACAUUCAACAGGCUAGUCUGUCGAGCAUUAUCUCCAGAGAGUCCUCGCUAAGAAAC
This 636-nucleotide long non-coding RNA is filed under the name Prunus persica (peach). RNAcentral's name for it is "long non-coding RNA (PPER_LNC001674)". Lineage: Eukaryota; Viridiplantae; Streptophyta; Magnoliopsida; Rosales; Rosaceae. The record is from RNAcentral.